Molecule: ribosomal RNA, 497 nt
Filed under: uncultured bacterium
Lineage: Bacteria
Description: partial 16S ribosomal RNA
Rfam family: Bacterial small subunit ribosomal RNA
Source: RNAcentral
GACGAACGCUGGCGGCGUGCCUAAUACAUGCGAGUAGAACGCUGAAGCGAGGAGCUUGCUCUUCUUGGAUGAGUUGCGAACGGGUGAGUAACGCGUAGGUAACCUGCCUUGUAGCGGGGGAUAACUAUUGGAAACGAUAGCUAAUACCGCAUAACAAUGGAUGACACAUGUCAUUUAUUUGAAAGGGGCAAUUUCUCCACUACAAGAUGGACCUGCGUUGUAUUAGCUAGUAGGUGAGGUAAUGGCUCACCUAGGCGACGAUACUUAGCCGACCUGAGAGGGUGAUCGGCCACACUGGGACUGAGACACGGCCCAGACUCCUACGGGAGGCAGCAGUAGGGAAUCUUCGGCAAUGGGGGCAACCCUGACCGAGCAACGCCGCGUGAGUGAAGAAGGUUUUCGGAUCGUAAAGCUCUGUUGUAAGUCAAGAACGGGGGUGAGAGUGGAAAGUUCACACUGUGACGAUAGCUUACCAGAAAGGGACGGCUAACUACGUG